This 655-nucleotide long non-coding RNA is filed under the name Sus scrofa (pig). Its description in RNAcentral is "lncRNA (ENSSSCG00035080548.1)". The record is from RNAcentral. Lineage: Eukaryota; Metazoa; Chordata; Mammalia; Artiodactyla; Suidae.
AUGCUGGAUUACAGCAGCGCCGCCUGCUCUGGCCCCAUGAUGCCCAGCACCACGUGGCACGUCCGGAUGCCCCAGCCUGGAGAGUCACGGUCGCACUCCCUUCCCCCACAGCAGCAAGGGGUCAUGCCCCCGUUGUCCGCAACUGGCCCUGGCGCCGCCCUCCGGGGAGGGGGAGAGACGGCCUCAGCUCCCCCAGGGGUGGGGUCUAGGGCAGGCUUCCGAGGGUUCAGAGGUUCUCGCCUUCUCUGCGUGGAGUGGAUGGAAGGCAGUUCCUUCCGUUUCAGGGGCUUCUUCCUGGCGCUCUUUGCCAAGGCCCUCCCUCGCCCACAGCUCAGGUGGAAAUACUGAGGCGGAUGAGUUCAGGUUGGCCAAGCCGCCAGCCACGGACCCUGGGUGUGCUCGCCCAUCCUGGCCCCGCCCCCUGAGCUCCCUGGUACCCACUGGCUCACUCCUGGGCGCUGUACAAUGAGAGGGGUGUUCCUAGCGGUCGCGAGAGAAAAGGGGUUACGAGGCCUUCCAGUUCCCACGCUCCCUCUGUGGAGUUUGCUUUUGCAGAUUCCGUUCCAGUCUGGUCUCCGGUUCCCUGGCUUAUCCUACGGCUGAGCGGAGUACCCGGGUAAAUAGGUAUCACUCUGCAGACUUCGGGUCAGGUCUG